RNAcentral lists this ribosomal RNA (561 nucleotides) under Methylobacterium sp. Rc2. RNAcentral's name for it is "bacterial SSU rRNA". It matches the Rfam family "Bacterial small subunit ribosomal RNA", at positions 60 to 665 of the family's 1533-position model. The record is from RNAcentral. Lineage: Bacteria; Pseudomonadati; Pseudomonadota; Alphaproteobacteria; Hyphomicrobiales; Methylobacteriaceae.
AGUCGAGCGGGGCCCCUUCGGGGUCAGCGGCAGACGGGUGAGUAACGCGUGGGAACGUGCCCUUCGGUUCGGAAUAACUCAGGGAAACUUGAGCUAAUACCGGAUACGCCCUUAUGGGGAGAGGUUGACUGCCGGAUGAUCGGCCCACGUCCGAUUAGCUACUUAGUGAGGUUAUGGCUCAGCAAGGGCACCAACAGUAGCUGGUCUGAAAGGAAGAUCAACCGCACUGGGACCGAAACACGGCCCAAACUCCUACCGGAAGCAGCCGUGGGGAAUAAUGGACGAAGGGGGCAACCCUGAUCCAACCCUGCCCCCUGAAUGAUGACGGCCUUAAGGUUGUAAAACUCUUUUCUCCCGGACUAUAAUGACGGUACCGGAAGAAUAACCCCCGGCUAACUUCCUGCCAACAUCCGCCGUAAUACCAAGGGGGCUAGCGUUGCUCGGAAUCACUGGGCGUAAAGGGGGCGUAAGCGGCUGAUUUACUCCAGGGUGAAACCCCGGGGGUCAACCACGGAAUGGCCCUCGAAAGGGAUUGGCUUGAGACCGGAAUAAGACCGCGAA